GCGCCCGUAGCUCAGUCUGGCAGAGCAACGGACUUUUAAUCCGCAGGUCGAAGGUUCGAAUCCUUCCGGGCGCACCA
Molecule: transfer RNA, 77 nt
Filed under: Alphaproteobacteria bacterium
Lineage: Bacteria; Pseudomonadati; Pseudomonadota; Alphaproteobacteria
Also listed under: 3 other names
Description: tRNA-Lys
Rfam family: tRNA
About the family: Transfer RNA (tRNA) molecules are approximately 80 nucleotides in length.
Source: RNAcentral